RNAcentral lists this ribosomal RNA (538 nucleotides) under uncultured Pseudomonadota bacterium. RNAcentral describes it as "bacterial SSU rRNA". It matches the Rfam family "Bacterial small subunit ribosomal RNA", at positions 8 to 522 of the family's 1533-position model. Lineage: Bacteria; Pseudomonadati; Pseudomonadota. The record is from RNAcentral.
AGAGUUUGAUCAUGGCUCAGAACGAACGCUGGCGGCGUGCCUAACACAUGCAAGUCGAACGAGAAAGGGGCUUCGGCUCCGAGUAAAGUGGCGCACGGGUGAGUAACACGUGGGUAACCUGCCUCUAAGAUUGGGAUAACUCGUCGAAAGAUGAGCUAAUACCGGAUAAGACCACAGUUCCUGCGGGAACAGCGGUCAAAGGUAGCCUCUGCUUGCAAGCUAUCACUUAGAGAUGGGCCUGCGCACCAUUAGCUAGUUGGUAGGGUAACGGCCUACCAAGGCAAAGAUGGUUAGCUGGUCUGAGAGGAUGAUCAGCCACACUGGAACUGAGACACGGUCCAGACUCCUACGGGAGGCAGCAGUGGGGAAUAUUGCGCAAUGGGCGAAAGCCUGACGCAGCAACGCCGCGUGAGUGAUGAAGGCCUUCGGGUCGUAAAGCUCUGUCGGGAGGAACGAAUGCUCCUGAGGUUAACAGCCUCGGGAGGUGACGGUACCUUCAAAGGAAGCACCGGCUAACUCUGUGCCAGCAGCCGCGGUA